This is a non-coding RNA of Myotis lucifugus (little brown bat), 136 nucleotides long. The record is from Rfam. NCBI's taxonomy places the organism in Eukaryota, Metazoa, Chordata, Mammalia, Chiroptera, Vespertilionidae.
AGACAUAUUUUUCUACUCAGAUAAAGAGUACCUAACCUUCCCUCAGACGAGCUGAGAGUAGAGAGGCCAGGCUUCCUUCCCCUGGGAGAGGUGGUUAAGAAAGGAGCCUCACCUAGACUGCCCUUGCCUCACAUUA